UCGAACGGUAGCAGGCCUUCGGGCGCUGACGAGUGGCGGACGGGUGAGUAACGCGUAGGAAUCUACCUCAAAGUGGGGGACAACUUAGGGAAACUUAAGCUAAUACCGCAUACGCCCUACGGGGGAAAGCGGGGGACCUUCGGGCCUCGCGCUAUGAGAUGAGCCUGCGUUGGAUUAGCUAGUUGGUGGGGUAAAGGCCUACCAAGGCGACGAUCCAUAGCUGGUCUGAGAGGACGAUCAGCCACACUGGGACUGAGACACGGCCCAGACUCCUACGGGAGGCAGCAGUGGGGAAUAUUGGACAAUGGGCGGAAGCCUGAUCCAGCAAUACCGCGUGUGUGAAGAAGGCCUGAGGGUUGUAAAGCACUUUCAAUUGGGAGGAAUACCUAUCCAUUAAUACUGGGUAGCUUGACAUUACCUUUAGAAGAAGCACCGGCUAACUCCGUGCCAGCAGCCGCGGUAAUACGGAGGGUGCGAGCGUUAAUCGGAAUUACUGGGCGUAAAGCGUGCGUAGGUGGCCUGUUAAGUCAGAUGUGAAAGCCCCGGGCUUAACCUGGGAACUGCAUUUGAAACUGGCAGGCUAGAGUUUAAUAGAGGGGAGUGGAAUUUCAGGUGUAGCGGUGAAAUGCGUAGAGAUCUGAAGGAACACCAGUGGCGAAGGCGACUCCCUGGAUUAAAACUGACGCUGAGGUACGAAAGCGUGGGUAGCAAACAGGAUUAGAUACCCUGGUAGUCCACGCCGUAAACGAUGUC
Molecule: ribosomal RNA, 753 nt
Filed under: uncultured bacterium
Lineage: Bacteria
Description: bacterial SSU rRNA
Rfam family: Bacterial small subunit ribosomal RNA
Source: RNAcentral